AAUGGACGCAAGUCUGAACCAGCCAUGCCGCGUGAAGGAUGAAGGUCCUCUGGAUUGUAAACUUCUUUUAUUUGGGAAGAAACCCAAGAUUUCUAUUUUGGUUGACGGUACCAGAUGAAUAAGCACCGGCUAACUCCGUGCCAGCAGCCGCGGUAAUACGGAGGGUGCAAGCGUUAUCCGGAUUCACUGGGUUUAAAGGGUGCGUAGGCGGGCAGGUAAGUCCGUGGUGAAAUCUCCAAGCUUAACUUGGAAACUGCCGUGGAUACUAUUUGUCUUGAAUAUAGUGGAGGUGAGCGGAAUAUGUCAUGUAGCGGUGAAAUGCUUAGAUAUGACAUAGAACACCCAUUGCGAAGGCAGCUCGCUACACUAUUAUUGACGCUGAGGCACGAAAGCGUGGGGAUCAAACAGGAUUAGAUACCCUGGUAGUCCACGCCCUAAACGAUGAUUACUCGACAUCAGCGAUACACUGUUGGUGUCUGAGCGAAAGCAUUAAGUAAUCCACCUGGGGAAGUAC
RNAcentral lists this ribosomal RNA (514 nucleotides) under uncultured bacterium. RNAcentral describes it as "bacterial SSU rRNA". It matches the Rfam family "Bacterial small subunit ribosomal RNA", at positions 370 to 883 of the family's 1533-position model. The record is from RNAcentral.